RNAcentral lists this long non-coding RNA (547 nucleotides) under Panax ginseng (ginseng). Its description in RNAcentral is "long non-coding RNA (PGIN_LNC010005)". The record is from RNAcentral. Lineage: Eukaryota; Viridiplantae; Streptophyta; Magnoliopsida; Apiales; Araliaceae.
GCUCUACCAUACUUAUUAACCCAUCUACACUCUUGAAUUUAUCCGAUGUGGGAUUCAUGUGAAAAUAUCUCAACAAUCUCCACCUUUCACUUGAAUACCCAUCACAAGUAUCAUACUUGAGUAUUCUUAUCAUUAAUCACACCUUCUUUGAAUCCUUCAAGAGCUCUCUGCUCGACUCUAAUACUACUCCACCAUGCCAGCAGCAAACGCGUCUCAGCAGUUUUUCCUAGAGCCAUCUGAGCCCUGCUCCACCCGAUUCAAAUACUUCACCUUUGAGUCCUUCAAGUGCUUUGCUUGACUCUAAUAUUACUCCACCAGUAACUUCCCUAGAGCCUUCCUAAGCCCCCGCUCCACCCGACUCAAAUCAUCCCGUGCUCCACCUGAUUCAACUCUAUUUACUCCACCCACGAGGCCUUGCAAAUUUACCCUCGCACCCCCCUCGCACUUUAGAGUUGAUAAUUGGACUUGAUUUGCUCCACCCACGAGGCCUGCGAAUUUUACCCUCGCACUUCCCUUGCACCUUGGAGUUGUUCUUGGGCCCAUCGAA